CACAGCCAGCCUCACCACCGAUUACCAGAAAGAGAGAGAAAUUUAGAAAAGGAAGGGAAGGGCUGCCAGAAAUCCGAACCCAGAAAGAAUAAUAACACCAAAUCCAACUCCUACUCCAAUCUAACUCCCCGUUCAAACAAACACGCAAUUAAGAAGAAAUCUUCAAAAUCAAUUCAAAAUUCUAUCUGCGGAACUCCAAAAUUUCGCAGAAAAAUCCAGGGGAAAGAAAGAAAUAAGAAAAGAAAAGGAGAAAGGGAAGAUGCUGCCAACUACAUCAAAGGGGCGGACGAGCUCCAAUGCCCGGCCCAAUUCUCCUUUCCCUCAUUAUCUCCGUAGAAUCGUCAAGUGGCAACAAAUGGACAUUGAAUAUACUUUCUGGCAAAUGCUACAUUUAUGCACCUCGCCAAAAGUGGUAUAUCAGCACACUAAAUAUCACAAGCAAACAAAGAAUCAAUGGGCACGUGAUGAUCCAGCAUUCGUAGUGAUAUGCAGUCUUCUUUUGGUAGUUUCCACCUCAGCUUAUUGUGCCGCGUAUGAUCAUAGUGUGGGACACGCUGUUUAUGUAGUUUUGUCAGUGUUGCUUUUUCAUCUUUUGAUGACUGGUGCAAUUUUGGCUACAUGUUGCUGGUUCUUGACCAACAAUUAUCUUCGUGAAGAAGUUCCAAACAGUCAUGUGGUGGAGCAACGAGUGGAAUGGUUGUACGCAUUUGAUGUACACUGCAACUCUUUCUUCCCAAUGUUUGUUCUGCUAUAUGUCAUACACUAUUUUUUGUCACCUCUGCUGAUAGCUCAUGGUUUCAUUCCUGUUUUGCUAUCAAACUUGCUCUUCAUGGUGGCUGCUUCCUACUAUCACUACUUGAAUUUUUUGGGUUAUGAUGGCCAUGAGAGAUUUGAUGUUGGCUAUAUUUAGUACCUGGACCUUCCAAUCAUCUAAUGGAAGAUAAACAGUACUGCCUUUCUUGGAAAGAACAACCUUCUUCCUAUACCCAAUUGGUGUCGUAAUUGUCCUCUCACCAAUCUUGAUUCUGAUUGGUUUCAAUCCGUCGAGAUAUGUCAUGAAUAUGUACUUCAGUCAGUUGGAAUAGCCACGCCUAACACUAAGAUGAUACAUGGGAGGAUCCAGCUACAAACUGAGAAGCAUGAAACGGUUGAUUAGUUCAGUAACGACCCUCUUUGAGUGAAGACAGGAUUUCUCGGACGAAGGUUCUGUAGUUCUCUGUUAAGGCCUCAUUCUGUUAAAGCGUGAAAAUUAUACUUCCAUCAAAAGGGCUCCUAAAUUGGUUGGAUGAGAAAAUUGAUGAAGUGAAGCUCUAUUCAUUCUCACAAUUUUGCUCGUUCAUUAAAAUAUCAUCCUUAGUGGAUGCUGUAGUGCAUUUUUUUGAUAAAAGUUCUUGUACAACAUCUGCGGAAAUAUAGAAUGCGUGUACUUUAGUUACAGAACUUGCACUCCACUUGCUCCUUCAUUGUCAAGGACGGAGUCUCUUGCGUCGCUUCGACAAAAGUAACCAUCCUUUGAAUUCAUUAUAGAUUUUUUAUUUCCAUUUUUGUCUCAGGCACGAAACAUGAACAUAUAUAAUCUGUAUCGCUGUGUAAAUGCUCCUGAAAUUUUGUAUUUGGACAAAACCUAUACUCCCUUUGUCCCA
Coffea arabica (coffee) is the source of this 1643-nucleotide RNA transcript. RefSeq lists it as uncharacterized. NCBI's taxonomy places the organism in Eukaryota, Viridiplantae, Streptophyta, Magnoliopsida, Gentianales, Rubiaceae. The record is from RefSeq and is a predicted model, not a curated record.